This 253-nucleotide ribosomal RNA is filed under the name uncultured bacterium. Its description in RNAcentral is "partial 16S ribosomal RNA". It matches the Rfam family "Bacterial small subunit ribosomal RNA", at positions 524 to 776 of the family's 1533-position model. The record is from RNAcentral.
UACGGGGGGUGCGAGCGUUGUCCGGAAUCACUGGGCGUAAAGGGCGCGUAGGUGGUUUGAUAAGGGUGUGGUGAAAGUCCGGGGCUCAACCCAGAGCCUGCAUCCAAAACUGGCGGGCUAGAGUUCUGGAGGGGGUAGCGGAAUUCCUGGUGUAGCGGUGAAAUGCGUAGAUAUCAGGAGGAACACCGGUGGCGAAGGCGGCUACCUGGACAGAAACUGACGCUGAGGCGCGAAAGCUAGGGGAGCAAACAGG